This 494-nucleotide ribosomal RNA is filed under the name uncultured bacterium. Its description in RNAcentral is "bacterial SSU rRNA". It matches the Rfam family "Bacterial small subunit ribosomal RNA", at positions 28 to 526 of the family's 1533-position model. The record is from RNAcentral.
GACGAACGCUGGCGGCGUGCCUAACACAUGCAAGUCGAGCGGGGUUGAAGCGAGGGGUAACUCAAGCUUCUACCUAGCGGCGGACGGGUGAGUAACGCGUGGGCAACCUGCCUCAAGGUCUGGGAUAACAGCUCGAAAGGGCUGCUAAUACCGGAUAUGCCUAUGGCCUCGCAUGGGGCUAUGAGCAAAGGGGAAACCUGCCUUGAGAUGGGCCCGCGUCCCAUCAGCUAGUUGGUGAGGUAACAGCUCACCAAGGCGACGACGGGUAGCCGGCCUGAGAGGGUGACCGGCCACACUGGGACUGAGACACGGCCCAGACUCCUACGGGGGGCAGCAGUGGGGGAUCUUGCACAAUGGGCGAAAGCCUGAUGCAGCGACGCCGCGUGAGCGAAGAAGGCCUCGGUUGUAAGCUCUGUCUGGAGGGACGAAGGAAGUGACGGUACCUCCGGAGGAAGCCACGGCUAACGUACGUAGCCAGCAGCCGCGGUAAAGUC